UACAGAGGUCUCAACCGUUGUUCGGAUUCAUUGGGCGUAAAGGGUGCGUAGGCGGUCGGGUAAGUCGGAUGUGAAAUCUCAGGGCUCAACCCUGAAACUGCAUUCGAUACUGCCCGGCUAGGGUACUGGAGAGGAGACUGGAAUUUACGGUGUAGCAGUGAAAUGCGUAGAUAUCGUAAGGAAGACCAGUGGCGAAGGCGAGUCUCUGGACAGUUACCGACGCUGAGGCACGAAGGUCAGGGGAGCAAACGGG
Molecule: ribosomal RNA, 253 nt
Filed under: uncultured bacterium
Lineage: Bacteria
Description: partial 16S ribosomal RNA
Rfam family: Bacterial small subunit ribosomal RNA
Source: RNAcentral